GAUGAACGCUGGCGGCGUGCCUAAUACAUGCAAGUCGAGCGAACAGACGAGGAGCUUGCUCCUUUGACGUUAGCGGCGGACGGGUGAGUAACACGUGGGUAACCUACCUAUAAGACUGGAAUAACUUCAGGAAACCGGAGCUAAUACCGGAUAAUAUUUCGAACCGCAUGGUUCGAUAGUGAAAGAUGGCUUUGCUAUCACUUAUAGAUGGACCUGCGCCGUAUUAGCUAGUUGGUAAGGUAACGGCUUACCAAGGCAACGAUACGUAGCCGACCUGAGAGGGUGAUCGGCCACACUGGAACUGAGCCACGGUCCAGACUCCUACGGGAGGCAGCAGUAGGGAAUCUUCCGCAAUGGGCGAAAGCCUGACGGAGCAACGCCGCGUGAGUGAUGAAGGUCUUCGGAUCGUAAAACUCUGUUAUUAGGGAAGAACAAACGUGUAAGUAACUGUGCACGUCUUGACGGUACCUAAUCAGAAAGCCACGGCUAACUACGUG
This 497-nucleotide ribosomal RNA is filed under the name uncultured bacterium. Its description in RNAcentral is "partial 16S ribosomal RNA". It matches the Rfam family "Bacterial small subunit ribosomal RNA", at positions 28 to 507 of the family's 1533-position model. The record is from RNAcentral.